AGCCCGCUCACCAGGCCUGCCUCCCCGAGGAAAUGUCAGCUCCGAUUGGCUGGCACGCGGCCUAGUAGGCGAGACCGCUACUCUCCGUUGGCUGGAGUCUGUUUACCUCUGGGGGUUUUGCGAGAGAACUAGGCGAGGCGGCUGUUAAGGAAGACUACAGUUCCCGGCAAGCUAUGCGUGGGGAGCGUGAGGCUCUGUAGGAGCUCUGCUUUUUUGACGAAGGGGGCGUCGCGUUUCUUCUACAAAAGGGCUUGGAAGGGAGAUUCCUUCCAUCGUGAGAUGGCUGGUUUGGAACGCAUCAGCAAGCUUGAUCCUCUUCACACUCUCCUGAUAAUGAGAUGAAUCAAAGGACCCACUUCCUUAUUCACUGUAAAUCAGGAAGCACUGGUUCAGCAGCAUUAAGUUCCGGACUAAGCCUGCACGGACACUGAAGGGGGAAAACAAUCUCCCAUUCCUUCUACAGCUGCCUGAGACACCCAAAAAUAUGCCCCUAAGCCUUUUUAAUAUGGUGAUUCUCUUUAUUUAGCAGGGGGAGAGCAACUGGCCCUAUUCACUCCCAGCACAGAACCCCUCCAGUGACUGUUGCUAGUGUCAAUCUUAUGAUUCUUUUUAGAUUGUGAGCCCUUUGGGGACAAGGAUCCAUCUUAUUUAUUUGUUAUUUCUCUAUGUAAACCACUGUGGACAC
Molecule: long non-coding RNA, 685 nt
Organism: Hemicordylus capensis (graceful crag lizard)
Lineage: Eukaryota; Metazoa; Chordata; Lepidosauria; Squamata; Cordylidae
Exons: 3
Source: RefSeq, a predicted model, not a curated record